CGAUGGAGGGGGAUAACUACUGGAAACGGUAGCUAAUACCGCAUAACGUCGCAAGACCAAAGAGGGGGACCUUCGGGCCUCCUGCCAUCGGAUGUGCCCAGAUGGGAUUAGCUAGUAGGUGGGGUAACGGCUCACCUAGGCGACGAUCCCUAGCUGGUCUGAGAGGAUGACCAGCCACACUGGAACUGAGACACGGUCCAG
RNAcentral lists this ribosomal RNA (201 nucleotides) under uncultured bacterium. RNAcentral's name for it is "partial 16S ribosomal RNA". It matches the Rfam family "Bacterial small subunit ribosomal RNA", at positions 131 to 334 of the family's 1533-position model. The record is from RNAcentral.